Drosophila melanogaster (fruit fly) is the source of this 285-nucleotide non-coding RNA. Lineage: Eukaryota; Metazoa; Arthropoda; Insecta; Diptera; Drosophilidae. The record is from Ensembl.
GAAAAGGGGAAAUAAGACAUGCAACUCUGGGUUCGAGACACGGGUGAAUCAGUGGAUACUCAAGCCGGAAAAGCUGGAGGCCUGUUCAGACAUGCGGCGACCGCGUCAAUGUUGUGGAUUCGGGACUUGCACGUGAAACAAAUGUUCAAUAUUGGUAAAACAAAUUAAAUCUACCUGUUUUUGAUUACUACCUACCUACUAGAGUUGUUACAUCUGCCGUUAUAAGAAAACAAAGUACGCGGCAAUUUGAAAUUGAAUAUAAUACGACAGCUGGCAUUUUGGAAU